UGCAGGCGGUUUGUUAAGUCAGAUGUGAAAGCCCGGGGCUCAACCUCGGAACCGCAUUUGAAACUGGCAGGCUAGAGUCUUGUAGAGGGGGGUAGAAUUUCAGGUGUAGCGGUGAAAUGCGUAGAGAUCUGAAGGAAUACCAGUGGCGAAGGCGGCCCCCUGGACAAAGACUGACGCUCAGAUGCGAAAGCGUGGGUAGCAAACAGGAUUAGAUACCCUGGUAGUCCACGCCGUAAACGCUGUCUACUUGGAGGUUGAGGUUUAGACUUUGGCUUUCGGCGCUAACGCAUUAAGUAGACCGCCUGGGGAGUACGGCCGCAAGGUUAAAACUCAAAUGAAUUGACGGGGGCCCGCACAAGCGGUGGAGCAUGUGGUUUAAUUCGAUGCAACGCGAAGAACCUUACCUACUCUUGACAUCCAGAGAACUUUCCAGAGAUGGAUUGGUGCCUUCGGGAACUCUGAGACAGGUGCUGCAUGGCUGUCGUCAGCUCGUGUUGUGAAAUGUUGGGUUAAGUCCCGCAACGAGCGCAACCCUUAUCCUUGUUUGCCAGCACAUAAUGGUGGGAACUCCAGGGAGACUGCCGGUGAUAAACCGGAGGAAGGUGGGGACGACGUCAAGUCAUCAUGGCCCUUACGAGUAGGGCUACACACGUGCUACAAUGGCAGAUACAGAGGGCAGCGAGACAGCGAUGUUUAGCGAAUCCCUUAAAGUUUGUCGUAGUCCGGAUUGGAGUCUGCAACUCGACUCCAUGAAGUCGGAAUCGCUAGUAAUCGUG
RNAcentral lists this ribosomal RNA (776 nucleotides) under uncultured Salinivibrio sp. Its description in RNAcentral is "bacterial SSU rRNA". It matches the Rfam family "Bacterial small subunit ribosomal RNA", at positions 570 to 1346 of the family's 1533-position model. Lineage: Bacteria; Pseudomonadati; Pseudomonadota; Gammaproteobacteria; Vibrionales; Vibrionaceae. The record is from RNAcentral.